GCCAGGUGCGGUGGUGCAUGCCUUAGUCCCAGCUACUUGGAAGGCUGAGGUGAGAGGAUUACUUGAACACAGGCAUUCUGGAUUAUAGUGCACUAUACUGUGGUGUUCACAUUAAGUUCAGCAUCAGUAUAGUUACCUCCUAGGAGCAAGGAAUUAUCAGGUUGCCUGAGGAGGGGGUGAACUGGCCCAGGUCAUUAAUGGUGCAAGUCAGAACUCUCUGUACUGAUUAAUAGUGGAAUCAUACCAGUGAAGAGCCACUGAACUCCCAUCAGGGCAACAUGGUGAGACCUCCAUCUCU
Molecule: signal recognition particle RNA, 298 nt
Filed under: Carlito syrichta (Philippine tarsier)
Lineage: Eukaryota; Metazoa; Chordata; Mammalia; Primates; Tarsiidae
Description: Metazoan signal recognition particle RNA (ENSTSYG00000033008.1)
Rfam family: Metazoan signal recognition particle RNA
About the family: The signal recognition particle (SRP) is a universally conserved ribonucleoprotein. It is involved in the co-translational targeting of proteins to membranes.
Source: RNAcentral